Molecule: ribosomal RNA, 1344 nt
Filed under: uncultured bacterium
Lineage: Bacteria
Description: 16S ribosomal RNA
Rfam family: Bacterial small subunit ribosomal RNA
Source: RNAcentral
GACGAACGCUGGCGGCGUGCUUAACACAUGCAAGUCGAACGGAAAGGCCCUGCUUUUGUGGGGUGCUCGAGUGGCGAACGGGUGAGUAACACGUGAGUAACCUGCCCUUGACUUUGGGAUAACUUCAGGAAACUGGGGCUAAUACCGGAUAGGAGCUCCUGCUGCAUGGUGGGGGUUGGAAAGUUUCGGCGGUUGGGGAUGGACUCGCGGCUUAUCAGCUUGUUGGUGGGGUAGUGGCUUACCAAGGCUUUGACGGGUAGCCGGCCUGAGAGGGUGACCGGCCACAUUGGGACUGAGAUACGGCCCAGACUCCUACGGGAGGCAGCAGUGGGGAAUAUUGCACAAUGGGCGGAAGCCUGAUGCAGCAACGCCGCGUGCGGGAUGACGGCCUUCGGGUUGUAAACCGCUUUCGCCUGUGACGAAGCGUGAGUGACGGUAAUGGGUAAAGAAGCACCGGCUAACUACGUGCCAGCAGCCGCGGCGAUACGUAGGGUGCGAGCGUUGUCCGGAUUUAUUGGGCGUAAAGGGCUCGUAGGUGGUUGAUCGCGUCGGAAGUGUAAUCUUGGGGCUUAACCCUGAGCGUGCUUUCGAUACGGGUUGACUUGAGGAAGGUAGGGGAGAAAUGGAAUUCCUGGUGGAGCGGUGGAAUGCGCAGAUAUCAGGAGGAACACCAGUGGCGAAGGCGGUUCUCUGGGCCUUUCCUGACGCUGAGGAGCGAAAGCGUGGGGAGCGAACAGGCUUAGAUACCCUGGUAGUCCACGCUGUAAACGGUGGGUACUAGGUGUGGGGUCCAUUCCACGGGUUCCGUGCCGUAGCUAACGCUUUAAGUACCCCGCCUGGGGAGUACGGCCGCAAGGCUAAAACUCAAAGGAAUUGACGGGGCCCCGCACAAGCGGCGGAGCAUGCGGAUUAAUUCGAUGCAACGCGUAGAACCUUACCUGGGUUUGACAUGGAUCGGGAGUGCUCAGAGAUGGGUGUGCCUCUUUUGGGGUCGGUUCACAGGUGGUGCAUGGCUGUCGUCAGCUCGUGUCGUGAGAUGUUGGGUUAAGUCCCGCAACGAGCGCAACCCUUGUUCACUGUUGCCAGCACGUUAUGGUGGGGACUCAGUGGAGACCGCCGGGGUCAACUCGGAGGAAGGUGGGGAUGACGUCAAGUCAUCAUGCCCCUUAUGUCUAGGGCUUCACGCAUGCUACAAUGGCUGGUACAGAGAGUGGCGAGCCUGUGAGGGUGAGCGAAUCUCGGAAAGCCGGUCUCAGUUCGGAUUGGGGUCUGCAACUCGACCUCAUGAAGUCGGAGUCGCUAGUAAUCGCAGAUCAGCAACGCUGCGGUGAAUACGUUCCCGGG